UGGGGAAUAUUGCACAAUGGGCGCAAGCCUGAUGCAGCAACGCCGCGUGAACGAUGAAGGUCUUCGGAUCGUAAAGUUCUGUUGCAGGGGAAGAUAAUGACGGUACCCUGUGAGGAAGCCCCGGCUAACUACGUGCCAGCAGCCGCGGUAAUACGUAGGGGGCUAGCGUUAUCCGGAUUUACUGGGCGUAAAGGGUGCGUAGGUGGUCUUUCAAGUCGGUGGUUAAAGGCUACGGCUCAACCGUAGUUAGCCUCCGAAACUGGAAGACUUGAGUGAAGGAGAGGAAAGUGGAAUUCCCGGUGUAGCGGUGAAAUGCGUAGAUAUUGGGAGGAACACCAGUAGCGAAGGCGGCUUUCUGGACUGCAACUGACACUGAGGCACGAAAGCGUGGGUAGCAAACAGG
Molecule: ribosomal RNA, 403 nt
Filed under: Verrucomicrobiota bacterium
Lineage: Bacteria; Pseudomonadati; Verrucomicrobiota
Description: Verrucomicrobia bacterium partial 16S ribosomal RNA
Rfam family: Bacterial small subunit ribosomal RNA
Source: RNAcentral